Non-coding RNA from Nicotiana tabacum (common tobacco), 1379 nucleotides. The record is from RefSeq and is a predicted model, not a curated record. NCBI's taxonomy places the organism in Eukaryota, Viridiplantae, Streptophyta, Magnoliopsida, Solanales, Solanaceae.
UAAUGUAUUUGAUAUUUAAUGUUGUAUUUAGAUUCUUUUACGUCAUCAGAUUCGUAUCUUCAACUUUUUCCGAUCUUUGAUCUUUAAAUGACUCGAAUAGGUAUGAGACUCGUACCUACUUUAGUAACGGUCCACACCUAUGUUGCUUUCUUUUCCCCAUAUCUGUUGUCGCCCGUGCCUCUUGGCUAUUUAUUGCGUUUUGACCUUUUGACCAGUCCACGUGUCAUGACACGUUAUCUUCAAUAUUCAGACACAGUUUUUUCCCAGUACAGUUACUGUAGAGAACUUUUGCAGUUCUUCAUGAAAUUAGGUGUGAGGAGUUGUUGAAUGAGGAGCUAGAAAAGGUGAAGUUCUAAUCAUGCAAGAGUUGGAGAGUUGGUCUCUCCUGUGAAACUCAAGAAGAAGAGGGAGCUACUAUGGAUAAUAGGUAGCUCAUAUUUGAUAGGUAAGAGAUGAACUUCUCACUUCCUAGGUAACUAUUAGAAGUUUUGUAGGUGCUUUAAAUUUUAAUGAAUGGUCAUGUAUUUCGUUGAUUGGGGUAUCAAAAUUUUAGUUUAUGAGACAAGCUGAUGGAUACUUAUUGGUUUCACAUGUAUUGGAAUAUCAACCUCAUAGCUUAUAGAAGAGUAUGUCAGACAAAUGAAUGGUUCACAUUUCUGACCUUCGGGAUAGAACACAAAUUGAAGUGAGAUAUGUUUAAGUGGUACUUUUUAUGUUUUAUCAUUUAGUAUCUUAAAUACAAUGAAAUUGAUCCAAGAAGAAAGUUCUUGACCUAAAUGUCGACAUAGGCCAAAGGAGGUAGUGACAAGAUGCAAUGUAAUGCAAACGUCCCUUAUGCCAAAUUGCCAAUUAUCUGGGGUUCAGGGACCUAACAGGCAGUGAGGAGUAUGCAAUUUAUGUGUUGUAUUUUUGCCUUCUGAAUUCUUUUUUCGCUGUAAUAUUAGAGCUUCUUGCAAAAUUUUAUGUGUGCGGCUGAAGGAGGUGCUGAUAUUGAUGCAUAUACUGAGGAAAAGUACGUGCACUGGUAUAAAUUGGUACUGUCGUAUUAUACGUGCCGGAUAUGAAUCCGUUCAAAGGUUUAUGCAACACCGAUGUCAUUAAGAUGCAUGAUCUGGUUGAUUGGGAAUUGUGGAUGACUCAUAUUAAGAGGCAAGAAAUGAACUUUUCGUUUCCUCAGUAAACUGUUAGAAGUUUUUUUUCUGUUACUUUAUUUUUCAUAUAUUUGGUCAUGAUAUUUUAUUAACUGUGUUUUAGUGAAUAUUGUAUAUAAAUAUAAAAGAAGUGGAUGGUACCUAUUCGUUUCGGGCACAUUGUUAUAUUACUCAUGAAGAAUUGGCUGCAAGAAAAAAUAAUAUAACUUAAGAGAUCUUUGCCAGACA